AGGAUGAACGCUGGCGGCGUGCCUAAAACAUGCAAGUCAUACGGUCUACCUUCGGGUAGACAGUGGCAAACGGGUGAGUAACACGUGGGAACACGCCUUCGAGUGGGGAAUAACGCUGAGAAAUCAGUGCUAAUACCGCAUAUGGUCUAACGACUAAAGCAGUAAUGCGCUCGGAGAGUGGCCCGCGUCCGAUUAGCUAGUUGGUGGGGUAAUGGCCUACCAAGGCGGUGAUCGGUAGCUGGUCUGAGAGGAUGGUCAGCCACACUGGGACUACGAACGGCCCAGACUCCUACGGGAGGCAGCAGUUAGGAAUUUUCGGCAAUGGACGAAAGUCUGACCGAGCGACGCCGCGUGGAGGACGAAGCCUUUCGGGGUGUAAACUCCUUUUCUGCGGGAAGAUAAUGACGGUACCGCAGGAAUAAGCACCGGCUAACUACGUGCCAGCAGCCGC
This 451-nucleotide ribosomal RNA is filed under the name uncultured bacterium. Its description in RNAcentral is "SSU rRNA". It matches the Rfam family "Bacterial small subunit ribosomal RNA", at positions 26 to 518 of the family's 1533-position model. The record is from RNAcentral.